RNAcentral lists this ribosomal RNA (326 nucleotides) under Heteronitis castelnaui. RNAcentral's name for it is "partial 16S ribosomal RNA". Lineage: Eukaryota; Metazoa; Arthropoda; Insecta; Coleoptera; Scarabaeidae. The record is from RNAcentral.
AAAUUUUGCCCUCCCCUUUGAUUUUUUUUAAAGGGCCGCGAUACUUUGAUCGUGCAAAGGUAGCAUAAUAAUUAGUUUUUUAAUUGAGAACUGGUAUGAAUGGUUGGACGAGGAAAAGGCUGUCUCAAUUUAAUUUAAUUAGAAUUUUAUUUUUAAGUAAAAAAGCUUAAAUGUUUUUAAAAGACGAGAAGACCCUAUAGAGUUUUAUAUAAAAUUAAUUUUUGGCGUAAAAGAAUUUAAAGUUAAAAAAAUUAAUUUUGUAUUUGGUUGGGGUGACUAAAAAAUUUAAUGAAAUUUUUUUUAAAAUAAACCAUUGAUUUAUGAAU